This 1547-nucleotide long non-coding RNA is filed under the name Populus trichocarpa (black cottonwood). RNAcentral's name for it is "long non-coding RNA (PTRI_LNC000049)". The record is from RNAcentral. Lineage: Eukaryota; Viridiplantae; Streptophyta; Magnoliopsida; Malpighiales; Salicaceae.
UCUAAUUUAACGGGCCAUAUAUAUCAUAUCAACGAGCCUUUCUUUUUUUCUUUUUUUCUUUUUUUUGGAGUAGUCUCACUCCGGACCACUCCAAAGAGAUUCCUGGACCCAAUAAUAUUUGAUUCGGAAAUUAUCGAAAAGCACUUGCAUGUAUAGCAUUAGUUGAUAUGAACAUUGCAUCAUCGAAUCGAUCUUUUUAUUUUAUUUUUCUUCCAGAUAAUCAAAUAAAUGUGUGUAUAUAUAUAUAUCAUUAAGUAUUUUAAGUGGUAUGCGAAAGGGAGAGAAGAUGUGAUGUGUGGGUGCCCCAUGGUUCCACCAUGCACAUGCUGAACACAUGCUUGGUCGAUCUUCAGUAUUAUCCAUCCACCCACCCCAGAGAGAAGUUGCUCUUGCAUAAGAUCGCAUUCUAAUCCAGAAAGGGGUGUCAAGAUCAAUAUUAAGCAACAGAAAACAGCACAGAUCCACACAAUGUCAUGAUAUAUAUUUAGCUAGGCAAUGUGAUGCUGUGAGUUAUAACUUGCAUGGCUCAUAUUGAUUCCAUGUGCAUGGAACAUGUAGCUGGGGACACUGGGGUCGAAGGGCAGCAUACAUGUUCAUGAUUUUUCAAGCACAUACCUAAUUGAAUUAAUGUAUUAGCCUGUUAUCCUUGCUGCAUAGAUAAUGACCUUGUUGCGUGCCAUCCUCAAGAAUUAAUGGCCUUUGCUGCUCAGACCUCCUUUUUAUGCACAUAAUUGAUCAUUUAUUAACUUCAUGCUUUGUGUUCUCGUGUCAUUUCCAAGCAUAAAACAUCCCAGCAGAGGGACAUUAAAGUCGUUUUUCAAAUAUAAAACAUCCCAGCAGAGUAGGAGGAACUUUAUGCACAGAUCAAAUUUAACUUUAAAAUCUAGAUUUGAAUUGUUAAUUAAUUAAUAUCCUUAAAAAAUAGAACAAAACGAAGAAGAAGGUUUUUUUAAAAGAGAUAAUCAAGGGUAGAGAGAGAGAGGGAGAGAGAUGCGUGUGUUUCUUCUCAAGAUGUAACCUUUGUAUAUUACUGCAGGCAUUUUCUUCGAACAAGACCCUUACGUCCCUUCCUCAUACUGCACACUCUAUUUAUGUCCUUGCAAGCCUCCCCUUCCUCGUCCCAGAGCCAUUCACAUAUGAAGCUUCCUCAGAUACACCUGAAAACAAAUCUGUUCCUAAAAUAUGCCAAAAACAAACUAGCUAACAGCUUAACUCGAGCAACUCAGGCAUUGAUUCUUGAUACAUUAUGGGAAUUUUUAUUUAAAUUUCACAAUUUUCAUAUGAUAUAUAGUAUGUGGGUUGAGCGAGCUCUGUAGCAUCACGUUCACAUCUUCUUAUAUGAAAAUUCAACAAGUGAUUUACCCUUUGUAAUAUCUGUUCAGAGAAAUUCUUAUGGAUUAUUCCACGAACCCGCGUGAUUGUAUAUUUUUACUUUAAUGAGGACCAAUUCGUGCAAUUUUGAAAAAGAAAAUGGAACUCUGAAGGGACCACGACCCUUGAUGGCUCCUCUAAAUCCGUCAUUGCCCGAGCCUCCGAGGAAUGAUUUG